GACGAACGCUGGCGGCGUGCUUAACACAUGCAAGUCGAACGGAAAGGCCCUGCUUGCAGGGUACUCGAGUGGCGAACGGGUGAGUAACACGUGGGUGAUCUGCCCUGCACUUCGGGAUAAGCCUGGGAAACUGGGUCUAAUACCGGAUAGGAGCCAUUUUUAGUGUGAUGGUUGGAAAGUUUUUUCGGUGUAGGAUGGGCUCGCGGCCUAUCAGCUUGUUGGUGGGGUAAUGGCCUACCAAGGCGGCGACGGGUAGCCGGCCUGAGAGGGUGGACGGCCACAUUGGGACUGAGAUACGGCCCAGACUCCUACGGGAGGCAGCAGUGGGGAAUAUUGCACAAUGGGCGCAAGCCUGAUGCAGCGACGCCGCGUGGGGGAUGACGGCCUUCGGGUUGUAAACUCCUUUCGCUAGGGACGAAGCUUUUUGUGACGGUACCUAGAUAAGAAGCACCGGCUAACCACGUG
This 465-nucleotide ribosomal RNA is filed under the name uncultured bacterium. Its description in RNAcentral is "partial 16S ribosomal RNA". It matches the Rfam family "Bacterial small subunit ribosomal RNA", at positions 28 to 507 of the family's 1533-position model. The record is from RNAcentral.